Molecule: non-coding RNA, 255 nt
Organism: Vicia faba (fava bean)
Lineage: Eukaryota; Viridiplantae; Streptophyta; Magnoliopsida; Fabales; Fabaceae
Source: the annotation of a GenBank genome assembly
AUGAGCAACCAAGCAAAAGGCAAGACGAAGAAUGACGGUGGUAAAAUGGGAGGAGGAUUUAGGUCAAAGUUGAAUCACGCUCUCUACAGCGGUGAAAAGAAGCACGUUUUCGCUGGCUUAGUUCUCAUCACCGCCGUCUUUUCUGUACCAUGGUUUCUUAUGAACAGAGGGCUUGUUCCGGUAUUGCCAAUACUGUUUUGUCCAGCAAUUGACCCACGACAAAGGCGUAGGAAGCACAAGGAUUCGGUUGAUUGA